RNAcentral lists this ribosomal RNA (497 nucleotides) under uncultured bacterium. RNAcentral describes it as "partial 16S ribosomal RNA". It matches the Rfam family "Bacterial small subunit ribosomal RNA", at positions 28 to 507 of the family's 1533-position model. The record is from RNAcentral.
GAUGAACGCUGGCGGCGUGCCUAAUACAUGCAAGUCGAGCGAACGGACGAGAAGCUUGCUUCUCUGAUGUUAGCGGCGAACGGGUGAGUAACACGUGGAUAACCUACCUAUAAGACUGGAAUACCUUCGGAAAACCGGACCUAAUACCGAAUAAUAUUUUAAACUCCAUGUUUCAAAAUUGAAAGACGGUCUGCCGGUAACUUAUGGAUGAAUCCGCGCUGCAUUAGCUAGUUGGUAAGGUAACGGCUUACCAAGGCAACGAUGCAUAGCCGACCUGAGAGGGUGAUCGGCCACACUGGAACUGAGACACGGUCCAGACUCCUACGGGAGGCAGCAGUAGGGAAUCUUCCGCAAUGGGCGAAAGCCUGACGGAGCAACGCCGCGUGAGUGAUGAAGGUCUUCGGAUCGUAAAACUCUGUUAUUAGGGAAGAACAUAUGUGUAAGUAACUGUGCACAUCUUGACGGUACCUAAUCAGAAAGCCACGGCUAACUACGUG